RNAcentral lists this unclassified non-coding RNA (283 nucleotides) under Euphorbia pedilanthoides. RNAcentral describes it as "partial external transcribed spacer". Lineage: Eukaryota; Viridiplantae; Streptophyta; Magnoliopsida; Malpighiales; Euphorbiaceae. The record is from RNAcentral.
UACAGGAGAGACGGUCAUUCUUAUAUCGGGACAACGAGAUUAUAGAAGAAAAUGAAUCCCUCCACUCGURAAGCAUUCUGCAUCCGAGAGCACAAGCGACUUCCCAUGUGCCAAAGUAGCCAAAAAAGCAUACCAGGUACACGAUAGCCGCUGUAUGGUUCAUCYAAUGCCACCUUUGAUGGGGAAAAGAUGAAUAGCAUUACGCAACAAAAUUGGAUUCCGCUAAGUGGGUAUGCAACACAGAAACCCAUCCUUGCCCGACAUAGCAACAUGCCUUCGAGAC